GCUGCGUGUGGUAGUGCACGCCUGUAGUCCCAGCUACUCAGGAGGCUGAGGCGGGAGGAUCGCUUGAGCCCAGGAGGUCGAGGCUGCAGUGAGCUGUGAUUGCACCACUGCACCCCGGCCUGGGCGACAGCGAGACCCUGUCUCUU
Papio anubis (olive baboon) is the source of this 146-nucleotide unclassified non-coding RNA. It matches the Rfam family "Metazoan signal recognition particle RNA". From Rfam's summary of the family: The signal recognition particle (SRP) is a universally conserved ribonucleoprotein. It is involved in the co-translational targeting of proteins to membranes. The eukaryotic SRP consists of a 300-nucleotide 7S RNA and six proteins: SRPs 72, 68, 54, 19, 14, and 9. The record is from Ensembl. NCBI's taxonomy places the organism in Eukaryota, Metazoa, Chordata, Mammalia, Primates, Cercopithecidae.